This 144-nucleotide ribosomal RNA is filed under the name uncultured bacterium. RNAcentral describes it as "partial 16S ribosomal RNA". It matches the Rfam family "Bacterial small subunit ribosomal RNA", at positions 355 to 517 of the family's 1533-position model. The record is from RNAcentral.
UGGGGAAUAUUGCACAAUGGGGGAAACCCUGAUGCAGCGACGCCGCGUGAGCGAAGAAGUAUUUCGGUAUGUAAAGCUCUAUCAGCAGGGAAGAAAUGACGGUACCUGAGUAAGAAGCUCCGGCUAAAUACGUGCCAGCAGCCG